CGGCGGACGGGUGAGUAACACGUGGAUAACCUACCUAUAAGACUGGGAUAACUUCGGGAAACCGGAGCUAAUACCGGAUAAUAUAUUUAACCGCAUGGUUCAAUAGUGAAAGACGGUUUUGCUGUCACUUAUAGAUGGAUCCGCGCCGCAUUAGCUAGUUGGUAAGGUAACGGCUUACCAAGGCAACGAUGCGUAGCCGACCUGAGAGGGUGAUCGGCCACACUGGAACUGAGACACGGUCCAGACUCCUACGGGAGGCAGCAGCC
Molecule: ribosomal RNA, 266 nt
Filed under: uncultured Staphylococcus sp.
Lineage: Bacteria; Bacillati; Bacillota; Bacilli; Caryophanales; Staphylococcaceae
Description: partial 16S ribosomal RNA
Rfam family: Bacterial small subunit ribosomal RNA
Source: RNAcentral